This 31-nucleotide non-coding RNA is filed under the name Mus musculus (house mouse). The record is from RNAcentral. Lineage: Eukaryota; Metazoa; Chordata; Mammalia; Rodentia; Muridae.
UGACAAUGAGAAGCACACAUUUGGCAUUUGC